CUGUCCUGAGACAGGAAGAGCUGAAGCACUUACUGAAGAGGUCCAGCUGUGAGUCUUUCCUCUUGUCCCUUGUUGGAGACAUCACCCAGAGUGGGUGAGUGGGCUGUGUGCACAGGACUUCCUGAGGAAGAGCCAAGUCAAAGAGAUGAGGCUGUAUCCCGUACCCAAAAUGGCUGUACCCCUGAUUUGCCGAUGCUUGGAACAACAAUCAAAUGAUUGAUCCAUUUUACUACACAUCCAUAGCGUCUUUCGAGCCACACAUCCCUGAAGUCUCUGUAUAUAAUGCUACAGUUGCAGCUGAAUUUUGUGAUGACAGGUUUUUAUUUUUAAGGGAGAAGAAAGAGGCUCUUCGCUUUCAAGCAGCUUGUAAAAAGACUGAUGACAUUCAUUCCACUAAUAAGCUGGCAAUUAAGAAAAAGUCCCAGAUUUCUCAAAGAGACGUAUUUUUCAACGGGAGCUAGUCAAGAUGUUGAUGAGGUUUUGUUUUUUGUUUUUAAAUGGGAUGUUCUGUCUCUUAGCAGAAAAAGGGCUGCUAAACUGGUGUUGUAAGUCUGCCCU
Mauremys mutica (yellowpond turtle) is the source of this 558-nucleotide long non-coding RNA. RefSeq lists it as uncharacterized. The transcript has 4 exons. The record is from RefSeq and is a predicted model, not a curated record. NCBI's taxonomy places the organism in Eukaryota, Metazoa, Chordata, Testudines, Geoemydidae.